AGCUACUUUGAUGCGAUCGGUUCUGAUGGAAAGCCAUCAGACGCAAGGGGGAAAGUUCGGUGUAAAUCCGGCACUGUCCCGCAACUGUGAUGAGACGUGGAAUCUAGCCUCAGAGUCAGAAUGCCCGCCGAUAGUAACAUUAAACA
Molecule: non-coding RNA, 146 nt
Filed under: Hassallia byssoidea
Lineage: Bacteria; Bacillati; Cyanobacteriota; Cyanophyceae; Nostocales; Tolypothrichaceae
Source: RNAcentral